CUACCCACACUCCCCUCAGACCCUCCCCCACCCACACUCCCCUCAGACCCCCUCCCUGGCUCUGGCUCAGCUCUGCCUUGCUCCUAGCCUGCCAGUGCAGCCAUGAGGGGGCACUCAGCAGUCUCUGUGAAAAGACCAGUGGGCAAUGUCCCUGUCGAACUGGUGCCUUUGGGCUUCGCUGUGACCGCUGCCAGCGUGGCCAGUGGGGAUUCCCUAGCUGCCGGCCAUGUGUCUGCAAUGGGCAUGCAGAUGAGUGCAACACCCACACAGGCGCUUGCCUGGGCUGCCGUGAUCACACAGGGGGUGAGCACUGUGAAAGGUGCAUUGCUGGUUUCCAUGGGGACCCACGGCUGCCAUAUGGGGGCCAGUGCCGGCCCUGUCCCUGUCCUGAAGGCCCUGGGAGCCAACGGCACUUUGCUACUUCUUGCCACCGGGAUGAAUAUUCCCAGCAGAUUGUGUGCCACUGCCGGGCAGGCUACACGGGUGAGUGGAUGGGGGCAGGCAUGGGAUCAGGGUGAGUUGACUGGGCUGAGCACUCACAGCUUCCUCUUGACCGUGGGCAGGGCUGCGAUGUGAAGCUUGUGCCCCUGGGCACUUUGGGGACCCAUCAAGGCCAGGUGGCCGGUGCCAACUGUGU
Molecule: small RNA, 637 nt
Filed under: Pongo abelii (Sumatran orangutan)
Lineage: Eukaryota; Metazoa; Chordata; Mammalia; Primates; Hominidae
Description: retained intron
Source: RNAcentral